This 510-nucleotide ribosomal RNA is filed under the name uncultured bacterium. Its description in RNAcentral is "partial 16S ribosomal RNA". It matches the Rfam family "Bacterial small subunit ribosomal RNA", at positions 28 to 507 of the family's 1533-position model. The record is from RNAcentral.
GACGAACGCUGGCGGCGUGCUUAACACAUGCAAGUCGAACGAAGAGCGACGGAAGCUUGUUUCUAUCAAUCGUAGUGGCGAACGGGUGAGUAACGCGUAAUCAACCUGCCCGUCAGAGGGGGACAACAGUAGGAAACGACUGAUAAUACCGUAUACGAUCUAAUCUCGGCAUCGAGGAUAGAUGAAAGGUGGAUGCUACAUGUAAGCAAUGACUGAAGGAGGGGAGUGCGUCUGAUUAGCUAGUUGGAGGGGCAGCGGCCCAUCAAGGCGAGGAUGGGUAGGCAGCCUGAGAGGAUGAACGGCCGCACUGGGAGUUAGACAGUGCCCAGACUCCUUCGGGAGGCAGCAGUGAGGGACCUUCCGCAAAGGACGAGAGGCUGACAGGGCAAGGCCGGCUGAGUAAUGACGGCCCUCGGGUUGGUAAGCACGGUUAUUCGGGGCGAAAGGCCUUCUUGCGAAUAGGGGGAAGGAUUGACGGUACCGGAAGAGAAAGCCACGGCUAACUACGUG